This 402-nucleotide ribosomal RNA is filed under the name uncultured prokaryote. Its description in RNAcentral is "bacterial SSU rRNA". It matches the Rfam family "Bacterial small subunit ribosomal RNA", at positions 355 to 774 of the family's 1533-position model. The record is from RNAcentral.
UAGGGAAUAUUGGUAAUCUGGGCAACCGGGAACCAGCAACGCCGCGUGCGCGAUGAAGGCCUUCGGGUUGUAAAGCGCUUUUUGAGAGGAUGAGGAAGGACAGUACUCUUAGAAUAAGCCUCGGCUAACUACGUGCCAGCAGCCGCGGUACAACGUAGGAGGCGAGCGUUAUCCGGAUUUACUGGGCGUAAAGCGUGUGUAGGCGGUUUGAAAAGUUGGAUGUGAAAGCUCCUGGCUUAACUGGGAGAGGUCGUUCAAAACUAUCAGACUUGAGAGUGGUAGAGGGAGGUGGAAGUCCGAAUGUAGUGGUGAAAUGCGUAGAUAUGCGGAGGAACACCAGUGGCGAAAGCGGCCUCCUGGCCCAUUUCUGACGCUCAGACGCGAAAGCUAAGGUAGCAAACG